AUGGUUAAGUUAGAAAGGGCGCACGGUGAAUGCCUUGGCACUAGGAGCCGAUGAAGGACGGGACUAACACCGAUAUGCUUCGGGGAGCUGUAAGUGAGCUUUGAUCCGGAGAUUUCCGAAUGGGGAAACCCACUGUUCGUAAUGGAACAGUAUCUUUAUCUGAAUACAUAGGAUAUUGAAGGCAGACCCGGGGAACUGAAACAUCUAAGUACCCGGAGGAAGAGAAAGCAAAUGCGAUUUCCUGAGUAGCGGCGAGCGAAACGGAAUUAGCCCAAACCAAGAGGCUUGCCUCUUGGGGUUGUAGGACACUCUAUACGGAGUUACAAAGGAACGAAGUAAAUGAAGCGACCUGGAAAGGUCCGUCGAAGAAGGUAACAACCCUGUAGUUGAAACUUCGUUCCCUCUUGAGUGGAUCCUGAGUACGGCGGAACACGUGAAAUUCCGUCGGAAGCUGGGAGGACCAUCUCCCAAGGCUAAAUACUACCUAGUGACCGAUAGUGAACCAGUACCGUGAGGGAAAGGUGAAAAGCACCCCGGAAGGGGAGUGAAAGAGAUCCUGAAACCGUGUGCCUACAAGUAGUCAGAGCCCGUUAACGGGUGAUGGCGUGCCUUUUGUAGAAUGAACCGGCGAGUUACGAUCCCAUGCAAGGUUAAGCUGAUAAGGCGGAGCCGUAGCGAAAGCGAGUCUGAAUAGGGCGUUUAGUAUGUGGUUGUAGACCCGAAACCAGGUGAUCUACCCAUGUCCAGGGUGAAGUUCAGGUAACACUGAAUGGAGGCCCGAACCCACGCACGUUGAAAAGUGCGGGGAUGAGGUGUGGGUAGCGGAGAAAUUCCAAUCGAACCUGGAGAUAGCUGGUUCUCUCCGAAAUAGCUUUAGGGCUAGCCUCAUGUUGUGAGAGUCUUGGAGGUAGAGCACUGAUUGGACUAGGGGCCCCCAACGGGUUACCGAAUUCAGUCAAACUCCGAAUGCCAAAGACUUAUCCAUGGGAGUCAGACUGCGAGUGAUAAGAUCCGUAGUCAAAAGGGAAACAGCCCAGACCACCAGCUAAGGUCCCCAAGUAUACGUUAAGUGGAAAAGGAUGUGGAGUUGCUUAGACAACCAGGAUGUUGGCUUAGAAGCAGCCACCAUUUAAAGAGUGCGUAAUAGCUCACUGGUCGAGUGACUCUGCGCCGAAAAUGUACCGGGGCUAAACGUAUCACCGAAGCUGUGGAUUGACAUCUUUGAUGUCAGUGGUAGGAGAGCGUUCUAAGUGCUGUGAAGUCAGACCGUAAGGACUGGUGGAGCGCUUAGAAGUGAGAAUGCCGGUAUGAGUAGCGAAAGACAAGUGAGAAUCUUGUCCACCGAAUGCCUAAGGUUUCCUGAGGAAGGCUCGUCCGCUCAGGGUUAGUCGGGACCUAAGCCGAGGCUGAAAAGCGUAGGCGAUGGCCAACAGGUUGAUAUUCCUGUACCACCUCCCCGCCGUUUGAGUAAUGGGGGGACGCAGUAGGAUAGGGUAAGCGCGCUGCUGGAUAUGCGCGUUCAAGCAGUUAGGCUGAUGAGUAGGCAAAUCCGCUCAUCAUAAAGGCUGAGCUGUGAUGACGAGGGAAUUAUAGUACCGAAGUUCCUGAUUCCACACUGCCAAGAAAAGCCUCUAGCGAGGCGGGAGGUGCCCGUACCGCAAACCGACACAGGUAGGCGAGGAGAGAAUCCUAAGGUGAUCGAGAGAACUCUCGUUAAGGAACUCGGCAAAAUGACCCCGUAACUUCGGGAGAAGGGGUGCUCUGGUAGGGUGUAUAGCCCGAGAGAGCCGCAGUGAAUAGGCCCAGGCGACUGUUUAGCAAAAACACAGGUCUCUGCGAAGCCGCAAGGCGAAGUAUAGGGGCUGACGCCUGCCCGGUGCUGGAAGGUUAAGAGGAGGGGUUAUCCUUUGGGAGAAGCUCUGAAUCGAAGCCCCAGUAAACGGCGGCCGUAACUAUAACGGUCCUAAGGUAGCGAAAUUCCUUGUCGGGUAAGUUCCGACCCGCACGAAAGGCGUAACGAUCUGGGCACUGUCUCAACGAGAGACUCGGUGAAAUUAUAGUACCUGUGAAGAUGCAGGUUACCCGCGACAGGACGGAAAGACCCCGUGGAGCUUUACUGUAGCCUGAUAUUGAAUUUUGGUACAGCUUGUACAGGAUAGGUAGGAGCCUGAGAAGCCGGAGCGCUAGCUUCGGUGGAGGCGUCGGUGGGAUACUACCCUGGCUGUAUUGAAAUUCUAACCCGCGGCCCUGAUCGGGCCGGGAGACAGUGUCAGGUGGGCAGUUUGACUGGGGCGGUCGCCUCCUAAAAUGUAACGGAGGCGCCCAAAGGUUCCCUCAGAAUGGUUGGAAAUCAUUCGUAGAGUGUAAAGGCACAAGGGAGCUUGACUGCGAGACCUACAAGUCGAGCAGGGACGAAAGUCGGGCUUAGUGAUCCGGUGGUUCCGCAUGGAAGGGCCAUCGCUCAACGGAUAAAAGCUACCCCGGGGAUAACAGGCUUAUCUCCCCCAAGAGUCCACAUCGACGGGGAGGUUUGGCACCUCGAUGUCGGCUCAUCGCAUCCUGGGGCUGUAGUCGGUCCCAAGGGUUGGGCUGUUCGCCCAUUAAAGCGGUACGCGAGCUGGGUUCAGAACGUCGUGAGACAGUUCGGUCCCUAUCCGUCGUGGGCGUAGGAAAUUUGAGAGGAGCUGUCCUUAGUACGAGAGGACCGGGAUGGACACACCGCUGGUGUACCAGUUGUCUUGCCAAAGGCAUCGCUGGGUAGCUAUGUGUGGACGGGAUAAGUGCUGAAAGCAUCUAAGCAUGAAGCCCCCUCAAGAUGAGAUUUCCCAUAGCGCAAGCUAGUAAGAUCCCUGAAAGAUGAUCAGGUUGAUAGGUCAGAGGUGGAAGCGUGGCGACAUGUGUAGCUGACUGAUACUAAUCGAUCGAGGACUUAACCAAA
This 2938-nucleotide ribosomal RNA is filed under the name Priestia megaterium. RNAcentral's name for it is "23S ribosomal RNA". It matches the Rfam family "Bacterial large subunit ribosomal RNA". The record is from RNAcentral. Lineage: Bacteria; Bacillati; Bacillota; Bacilli; Caryophanales; Bacillaceae.